RNAcentral lists this ribosomal RNA (253 nucleotides) under uncultured bacterium. Its description in RNAcentral is "partial 16S ribosomal RNA". It matches the Rfam family "Bacterial small subunit ribosomal RNA", at positions 524 to 776 of the family's 1533-position model. The record is from RNAcentral.
UACGGGGGGGGCAAGCGUUGUCCGGAUUUAUUGGGCGUAAAGAGCGUGUAGGCGGCCAAGCAGGUCCGCUGUGAAAACUCGAGGCUCAACCUCGAGACGCCGGUUGAAACCAUCUGGCUAGAGUCCGGAAGAGGAGAGUGGAAUUCCUGGUGUAGCGGUGAAAUGCGCAGAUAUCAGGAAGAACACCCGUGGCUAAGGCGGCUCUCUAGUACGGUACUGACGCUGAGACGCGAAAGCGUGGGGAGCGAACAGG